UGCGUAGGCGGUCUUUUAAGUCAGGAGUGAAAGGCUACGGCUCAACCGUAGUAAGCUCUUGAAACUGGAGGACUUGAGUGCAGGAGAGGAGAGUGGAAUUCCUAGUGUAGCGGUGAAAUGCGUAGAUAUUAGGAGGAACACCAGUAGCGAAGGCGGCUCUCUGGACUGUAACUGACGCUGAGGCACGAAAGCGUGGGAGCAAACA
This 205-nucleotide ribosomal RNA is filed under the name uncultured bacterium. RNAcentral's name for it is "partial 16S ribosomal RNA". It matches the Rfam family "Bacterial small subunit ribosomal RNA", at positions 568 to 774 of the family's 1533-position model. The record is from RNAcentral.